This 25-nucleotide non-coding RNA is filed under the name Cricetulus griseus (Chinese hamster). Lineage: Eukaryota; Metazoa; Chordata; Mammalia; Rodentia; Cricetidae. The record is from RNAcentral.
UGAAAGAACAGAGCACAAUUAUUUU